UGCCACCUCAAUAGUUUCUCCAAACCUCCCAAGAGGAAUAUUUUUCUUUAAAUGUUCUUCUUUCAAGUCUUUCGUCAUAUCUGUGUGUACAAAUCCUAAAAGAGAAAUGUUUGUUUAGUUGAAAAGGGUACACACUAAGACAUCUGCUGAAUUUCAAAAAAAAUAAUAAAUUUGUUUCUGAAAAUUUUAAUUUGAAAUUAUUUAAAAAAAAAUUUUUUUUUGAGACAGGGUCUCACUCUGUCACCCAAGCUAGAAUGCAGUGGUGCAAACACGACUCACUGCAGCCUGGACCUCUGGGGCACAGGUGAUCCUCUUGCCUCAGCCUCCCAAGUAGCUGGGACUAUAGGCAUGCACCACCACACCUGGCUAGUUUUUGUACUUUUUGUAGAGUUGGGCCAGGCUGAUCUCAAACUUCUGGACUCAAGGGAUCGGCCCACCUCAGCCUCCCAAAGUGCUGGGAUUACAGGCAUGAGCCACCAUACCCACCCUAUAAUUUGAAAUUAUUAAUAAACCUUGUUUAUAUAAAAUAGUUUUGUUGGCCAGGUGCAGUGGCUCAUGACUGUAAUCCCAGCACUUUGGGAGGCCGAGGUGGGCAGAUCACCUGAGGGCAGGAGUUCGAGACCAGCCUGCCCAACAUGGUGAAACCCCGUCUCUACUAAAAAUACAAAAAAUUAGCUGGGGGUGGUGGUGGACGCCUGUAAUCCCAGCUACUCAGGAGGCUGAGGCAGGAGAAUCGCUUGAACCUGGGAGGUGGAGGUUGGAGUGAGCCGAGAUUGUGUCACUGCACUCCAGCCUCAGCGACAAGAGUGAAACUCCAUCUCAAAAAAAGCAAAACAAAACAAAAUAGUUUUGUUAGUAAUCAAGACACCAAGCCUACAUUUUUAUACAAUUUAACUCAAUGAAUAUUUAUUGGACACUAAAAUAUCUGACCCCCAAGUAUCUGGCCCACCUAGCAAAAUAUAAGUAGGUAGACACAAACAUGAAUAAAACAAAAUUCCACUCUUUGGGGAACCUAUGAUUUGUGGAGGAAAUGGUCACUUGCACACCCGAUUAUAACGUAAAGAAGUCUGGUGAAUAUCCUGAUAGAAGUAUAUAUAAAAUAUCAUAGAAUACAUUAAUUUUCACUUAGGUAGGGAUAGAAAAGUAGAAAGUAGUGUCAAGGGAAGGAAGGCAUCACAAAAGUGGUCACAUGAACUGAUUUGGUAGCUGAUGAUUAGAAAGGCCAGUAUUUCCCAUAUCUGGAUUUUAAAAUCUUACGGUCAUAUCCAAUUCUGAUACAAGUAAACAUAGAAAAUUCAAAUUCAGUAAAGCCUGCCAAGAAAAUGUUCUAAAGAAUGUAUUAGGUUCUACAGUAUAAAGAACUAACUACAUAAUAUAUAACCAACCAAUCCUAAAUAACUACAAAUACAUACCAGGGAGAACUGUAGACUUAUGAAGAAAAUCUUACAAGAUUAAUACAGGACAUACAAAUACGUAUUAAUAAAAUGCUUAGCCCAUAUAAUCAGUAUCCUGUAUAUUACUCAAUCAUUUGGGUUUUUAAAAAGAAAGCAAUAUUAAUCCUCAUGAAAAGAAUAGAAAAAAAUUUUUAAGGUCAUGAAAAAUAGAUGGACUAAAACUUCAACAUGACGUGUGAAGUAAACAUUUAAUGUGCAAUCUCAAAAAUACAGUUUUCAAAUUGCCUGUUAAAACUAAAUCAUUUAUAGCUCAAACUAUAGAUAAACCUAAAUAUAUUACCUUUUAAAGUACCAUAAUAAAUGUGAAGUAAACAAUGAAUUAAGAAUUAACAUUAGGCCAUUGGUUUAUUAUGCAAUACUAUGUAAUUACUUAACUUUCCUUUCUUUAGGUUUGCAGUUAUAAAUAUCUACGCAUUUUCUUAAAAGUCUUGUGAAAAAUAUUCACAGAUUUGUCUAUCAUGAAGCUUAUGAAUGACACUUUCAUUAGGAAAAAACUGAAACAAGCUGAAUGUCUUUCAAUAAGAAACUGGUUAAAUAAGUUAUGAUACAGCCAUACAACAGAAUAAUGCAGGUAUUAAAAAUAAUGCUAUAUGUUCUCACUUGUAACUGGGAGCUAAAGAAUGUGUACACAUGGAUGUGAUCACAAUGGAGAUUCAGAAGGGUGAGAGGGUGGGACAGAGGUGAAUAAGAAAUUACCUAAUAGGUACAAUGGGUGUUAUUCAGGUGACAGAUACCCUAAAAGCCCUGACUUCCCACUAUGAAAUCUAUGCAUAUAACCAAACUGCAUCUGCACCUGCAUUCAUUUGUAUUUAUACAAAUAAAUGAAUAAGAUAAAAAUAAAAAAUAAAAAUUAUGCUAUAGAAGGAUACUUAAAUCUGAAAGUAACAUUUGUGUAUAAAAUGUAGGUUACAAAUGAAUUAAGUUAUACCACUAUUAAAAACACAACAAAGAACUUAUACUAAUGACUGAAAAAAGUACUAUAUACCAAAAUAUUAACAGUGAUUAUCAUUAGAUACUAGAAUUACAGGUAAUGAUUUUUAUUUUCUUUAUAUUUUUCUGCUCUUUCCAAACUGUCUACAACAGAUAUAUAUAUUAUUUUUGUAUUCAGAUAAAAAGUUGUUGAAAAAAUGCACACAGUACUACCUUCAGAUAGUCUGUAAUGAAGGCCUGGAAUAACAAAACUAAUUUUGUAUUAUGUAUGUUUCACUGUGAAAUUACACAGUGAAAUACAGUCUUCUCUGCCAUAACAUCUUACCACAUUUAUUUUAAAAGUCAGCAAUAUUUCCUUCAUAUCCUCUCAUCUUUAAGAAGAAUGAGAAGGCCAGAAGGAAUGCAAGAAUAAAAGGAGAAGCAGCUAACACAGAUAUUGAUACUAGCCUCUGCAGAAUUUCCAACAAACUAUAAAUGAAACUUAAUUUACAGUGAAGAGCCACAAUAAUCAACAGGCAAUCCAAUCAGCUUAAGAACAAUAUCAUGGGGGUUCUCGCUGUCCAAAGUUUUCUGUCUUUAGACACAUGUAUUUUCCUUUUUUUUUUUUUUUUGAGACAAGAGUCUCACUCUGUCACCAGGCUGGAAUGCAGUGGUGCGAUCUAGGCUCACCGCAACCUCCGCCUCCUGGGUUCAAGCGACUCUCCUGCCUCAGGCUCCCCAGUAGCUGGGACUACAGGCACACGCCACCAUGCCCAGCUAAUUUUUGUAUUACUAGUAGAGACGGGGUUUCACCAGGUUGGCCAGGAUGGUCCUGAACUCCUGACCUCAGGUGAUCCACCCACCUCAGCCUCCCAAAGUGCUAGGAUUACAGGCGUGAGCCACUGUGCCCAGCCAACAAAAGUAUUUUCAAAAGUGCCUCAGAGAGUAUCCUAGGAAGAAAACCUCAUCUCACACUUGUAAUAAAAGCAGAAUGAAUAAAAAUUGUCAAAAACAUGUAAAAGUUCAUGUUAUCUUCUCAAAGAUAGACACAAUUAUCCUUUAAGUUCUUUUCAAACUCUAGCAAAAUUAGCAUAGAAUACUUCCCAGUAACUCUCACAAACUGUCAGCAUAAAAAUCGAUGCAUUUUAACCCAAAAAACAAAAACAGAAAAACACAAUAAACUACAGUAGAAAUGGUUUGCAAGAAAGACCUUGUGACUAUGCAAAUCCCAGGCUCAACUUCUGACUCUGCUGGCCUGGCCUUUUCUCAAAGGCAGUAUUUUGUGGUUAAAAAAAACCACUGGAUUAGGACACAUUAAACUAGAUUCUGUUCCCUGCUCUGCUGAUACUAUUAAAGCUAUCACCCGAGAAAAGUCACGUGCUAAGACCAGCUCGGUCACGGAGACCUUAACACAGCAGCACUAGAGGAAUUAAAGACACACACAGAAAUAUAGUGUGGAGUGGGAAAUCAGGGGUCUCACGGCCUUCAGAGCUGAGAGCCUCAAACAGACAUUCACCCACAUAUUUACUGACAGCAAGCCAGUGAUAAGCAUUCUUUCUAUAGAUGAUAGAUUAACUAAAAGUAUUCCUUACGGGAAACAAAGGGAUGGGCCGAAAUAAAGGGAUGGGUCUGGCUAGUUAUCAGCAGCAGGAGCAAGCCCUUAAGGCACAGAUCGCUCAUGCUAUUGUCUGUGGUUCAGGAACGCCUUUAAGCGGUUUUCCACCCUGGGUGGGCCAGGUGUUCCUUGCCCUCAUUCCGGUAAACCCACAAACUUCAGCAUGGGUGUCAUGGCCAUCACAAACAGGUCACGGUGCUGCAGGGAUUUUGUUUAUGGCCAGUUUGGGGGCCAGUUUAUGGCCAGAUUUGGGGGCCUGAUCCCAACAGUCAUGUACUAUCUGCAACUGAAUGACCAUUUCUGUAUCAUAAAAUGAAUGUAAUAGGUGGAAAAUGACAGAUCUCUGAGGUUUCUUUUCUGUUUUUUCUUUUUUGCUUUUUUUCUUUUGAGACAGUCUGGCUCUGUCACCCAAGCUGGAGUGCAGUGGCACAAUCACGGCUCACUGCAACCUCUGCCUCCCAGGUUCAAGCAAUUAUCCUGCCUCAGCCUCCCCAGCAGCUGGGACAACAGGCGCCUACCACCACGCCUGGCUAAUUUUUUUUUUUUUUUUUUUUUUUUUUGAGACGGAGUUUGGCUCCUGUCACCCAGGCUGGAGUACAAUGGCAUGAUCUCAGCUCACUGAAACCUCCGCCUCCCGGGUUCAAACAAUUCUUCUGCCUUAGCCUCCCGAGUAGUUAGGAUUACACGCAUGCAUCACCACACCAGGCUAAUUUUGUAUUUUUAGUGGAGACAGGGUUUCACCAGGUUGGUUGGGCUGGUCUCAAAUUACUGGCCUUAGGUGAUCAGCCUGCCUUGGUCUCCCAAAGUACUGGGAUUACAGGCGUGAGCCACCAUGCAGCCUGGCCUGAGGUUUCUUUUAGCCCUACAACACUACGAUUCAAAGAUUAAAAGUAUGCCUCAUUAAGUACUCUUCAUGACAACUUGACUUGAACUUUAGGAAUGUAAGUUCCCUUAAAAGGGCCCUCAGUUCUUACAUUGGUAGGUACAUAGAGGUUAGAAUACUUCCAAUUCAAGAAGCACUAACGCUAACCUGGGUUUUCAUCCAUGCUGUGUUGAAAGGAACUGAUCAGCCCUUCUUCUGGGUGGAUGUUAGUUCUGAUAUGUUUGUCCUUUCGGAGACAAAAAGUAAGGCCACAAAAGUUGUGAGUGACCAUUUGAACAGGUUUUUUCACCUCGGGGAAAAAAGCAGAUCUAGAAUAAGGCAUGAGAUACUGGAAGGUCUCCAAGCCUUAGACAGGCAAGGAGACCUAAGCAGUGAGACACUUUCAGGGACAAUCCCAGUGAGAUGGAAAGAUGACCUCUACCACACAGACAUGGGCUGACAUCCUUCUUUCUGCUUGUAUUACUUUCUAGUCUGUGCUCUCUCUCCUUGGCCCCAAAGGACUCUCCCCCAUAUCAUCCUUUCAUUUCAUUUGUAAAACUCUGGAAAUUUUGCUCUACUCCCCUUUUUGCUAGGUAUACAUUUACAAUGCCUUUCACACUAGGCUAUAAACAUUACAAACUACCAGUAGGUGCCACUGUCCAACAAAUAAUGCUACUGCAUCUCCUGGAGAGUUAGACGUUUCCAGUUUGGAGGACAGACAUGUGAUCCCCCAAAAACAACCAAGUAAGCUAGAUAUGGAACAGAUAAAGGCUAACAUCUUGAAGCUUUUAAUAAGGUCUUGUUAAAUGUUAUAGCCUGGAUUCAUCUCUGCUAUAGUCUAUGUCUAUGUUAGGUCAGAUCUGUACAAGAGAGAGUGGUGCCCUCUGAAUCCAACAUGAUUACAAGAAGUCCAGAACAGGAAUGAUGAUGUUCAGCCACCCACCUCGAAUGAAAAGUCUCCCUCCACUGCUCAAGCUUAGAAGAUAAGGGUGUGAUUUAUUUAGGGAAAGCUUGCCACAAUCUCUCCCCAGACCUAUGAAUGGAUACUUGGAAUAACAAAUAUCAGGGGACAGCUGCUAGCCAUCACUGAACUCUGCACUAAAAGUAAAGUGGGUGAGAGAGGCCAAGUUGAAAGGAAGGGAUGAAUUCACCAAUGCUGGUUUUUCCUCUUUGAUUAUGUUAUUUUCUAUGGAGGACAUGAACAUGUCCAAAGAGCCUCUCUUCAUUUUCUGUAGCUUUUUAAAAAAUUUAUAAACUUUACAUUUUUGAGGAAUUUUAGGUUUACAGAAAAAUUGAACACAACGUUCAGAUAGAUCCCAUGCACCCCCUUUUCACAUCACCCCCCCCUUUCCAUUUCCCAUUACUAACAUCUUACCUUAGUGUGGCACAUUUAUUACAACUGAUAAACCAAUAUUGAUACAUUAUUAAGUAAAGUCCAUAGUUUACAUUAGGGUUCACUCUUUAUUUUAUAUAUUUAUGUAUUCAUUUAUUAAUACCAUUUUGUCUUCACAAGCUAAGGGUUCACUCUUUAGACUGUACAGUUCUACAGGUUUGGACAAAUGCAUAAUAUCAUGUGUCCACCAUUACAGUAGCAGACAGAAUAGUUUUACUGCCCUAAUAAUCUGUCUGUAGCUUUUUAAAACUCAUGUAUCUGUCCCCACUUUAUCAGAAAUUAAAUAAAAUUUAUCAGAAAUUAAAUUAAAAAUGUAAAGCUAGUCUCUAAUGAUAAAUUACUCUGGGCUGUAUGGAACUUCCAUGUCAUUUUAUAUUAAAGGUUAUGAACCACGUGAUCUUCAUUUAUAAAUAUAUUCACAACCCAGGACAUGACAUAUAAAUGGUCUCUUAGGUUCCAUAUCAUGUAUCACAGACCUGAAGAGAGAGAUUAAUAGUCCUUAAACAACUCACACACCCUUCUUACUACUUGUAUUACUUUCCGGUCUGUGCUCUCUCUCCUUGGCCCCAAAGGACUCUCCCCCAUAUCAUUCUUUCACUUCAUUUAUAAAAUUCUGGAAAUUGUGCUCUACUCCCCUUUUUGCUAGGUAUAUAUUAACAAUGCCUUUCAAACUAGGCUAUAAAAUUUACAGACUACCAGUAGAUGCCACUGUCCAACAAAUGAUGCUACUGCAUCACCUGGACAGUCAGAGGUUUCCAAUUGGCUACAAAGUUAUCACUUCUUAACUCGACGAAAAGAUAACUGAAAUGACAAGCAUUAAACCAAUUUAGAGCAAAGAUACUUCUAGUUUAGUUCCAUAUAUGUGAUUAAAAACCCAGUUCAAUUUUUAUAGGAACUCUUUAGGAACAGGGACACUCUUGCUCAAAAAGGUAAAUGCAUGGCUCCUGCCCAAUGAGGAUUUAUAUUUGAUAAACUCUAAAGAUAUAGGCCAGGUGUGGUGGCUUAUGCCUGUAAUCCCAGCUACUACUGAGGCAGGAGGAUCGCUUGAACCCAGAAGGUCUAGGCUGCAGUGAGCCAAGACUGCACCACUAUACUCCAACCUAGGCAACAGAAUGAAACCCCAUCUCAAAAAAAUUUUUAAACAAUUUUUUUAAAAAGAUUAUAUCCUUUAUCGAUUUCUGACUAGCUAUAAACUAUAAAUAGAAACACCUCAUUUCCAUAUCCCUAGGUCAUUAUUUUAGUUUUCAACAUUUUUAUAUACAGCAGAGCCUUUAUAUUUAAAAAGGCAUCAGGAUUUUAGCCUAUCACUAGUACUAACAAUUGUGAGAUGGGGCACUAUUUGAUGUAUCUGCCAGAUAAGAUGUCCACUCUUUGAUGUAAGUUUCUAGGACUCAAAAAGAACAAAAACAACCCAACACUUUUCUAAGGGAGAAGAAAUAAGGCUCUUACCAAAAAGCUAAACCAAGAUUUUAACUAGAACAAAUUUCUAUGUCUUAAUAUUAUAUUUGUAGAGGGAAGCAGAGUGGGAAAUCAACUUCAUUCCAAACAGCACAUAAGAACACUUAGAAUAUCUUCUCUGAGUAGCUAACAAACUCAUGCAAAUCUUUGUCAACAAGAUUUUCUCCAAGUAGUAAACAUAAAAGCUCUUCAACUUAAAAAAUAAAGUACUGAAACACUUAAGGUAUCCUGUAGAAAUAAACAUAAUACUAUUUGUCAAAAUUAAAAAUGCACAUACCUCUGAAGCCUUUGCAGUUCCAGUCCCAAGAUUACACUCAUAUACUUGCAAAUGUGCAAAAUAAACUCCAUACAAGUAUUGUCACUGCAUCAUUAGUUGUAACAGAAAAAGUUCAGAACAAAACUAAAUGUCCAUCAAAAGGCAACAGGUUAAAUAAAUUAGGUAUACCUUUAAAACAAACAUCAUUUUCUGUUUUCAUUCAGUCAUUAAAAGUGACAUAACAGUCACAAAACACCAAAUAUUACAUGAUUCAAUUUAUAUGAAAUGUCCAGAAUAUGCAAAUCUGUAGAUACAGAAAGUAGUUUAGUGUACUGGGGAGAUUGGAAAGAAAUAGGGAAUGAAUGUUAAUGGGUUUAGGAUUUCUUUAAGGAUGAUGAAAACGUUCUAAAAUUUACUGUGGUGAAGAUUGAACAAUUCUGGGACUAUACUAAAACCACUGAAUUGACUGAAUUGUAAACUUUAAAUGGGUGAAUUGUAUGGUAUGUGAAUUGUAUUUCCACAAAGCUGUUAUUUAAAAAAGUGAAGCAGCUCUAUAUGGAAUAACACAGAAACAUCACCAAGGUAUCUUGUUCUAUGAAUAAAGGAAGAUACAGAAAGCUGUGAAUUGCAUGAUACAAUUUGUGUUUUCUUACACUCAUGCCCAGCAUGCUUUAUUGGCUUAUAUAUGAAAUACAAAAGAAACUUUGUAGUUAACAGCAACUACUUUUAAGUAACUGAAUGUCCAGAGGAGAAAAGACUCUUUAUGCCUUUUUGUACUUUUGAAUUUCGUACUAUAUGUAUUAUCUAUUCAAAACACAUAUUUUUUAAGGUAAUACAGCCAUUACAGUUUCCAUUUAUCAAAUAUUAUUUCUAAUAUUCAAUAUCUUCCAAUCAGUAUGAUUUCCCAUGAACAGUUUAUUUUAUAUUUAAAGUAAUACCAAAGAUUAGCAGCUAUUGAUCUUUAAAAAGUCAACAGUAUUAGGCAAUGAAUCGCAGCCUAAUUUAUUAUUUUCCUUGUUCCUUGCUUUUCCUGUUAUAAUUUGCUUUUAAACUGUUUUCCUGCUAAUUGGAAACUCCAUUUGAAGGUGACCAGGAAAACUGACAUAAAAGGACACAUAUUUGUUAACUGUGAUGUUUGUUAGCUGUGUUACAAGAUCUGUUGAAGAAUCUGGUUGAAAUUACUAUCUAAAAUAAAGUUGGUAAGUAAUCCACAGAACUGAUUUAAUUCUACUAUUUCAAGUUGCACUUUGCUUCUGACAAAUGAUGCAUAUUCAUACCAUCAAAUCUGCUAAAUAUACAUAAAGGCCACUCUAUUAAAUGGCCACAUUUUCAGCUACAGGUUUUUAUCUGUAGUAUAAAUUGCACUGGAAAUCCAUAAUAUAUAAAUAUAUAUUAUGCUCUAUAAGGGUUGUAUGCUCAACAAAAAAGGGGAGUGAUAAAUAAAACCACCACUUUCAAAAAAAAAAAAAAAAAACUGCACUGGAAAGUAAAAUCUUUAAGAAAGAAAGACUACAACCACACUUCCAUAACAAUCUUAAAACUUCCCCUUAGUAUGCAAACUGGAUUCCCACUAUUUAGUCUACUGCCUUGACAACUAUUUACUCUAAACUAGACAAAAUUAAGCAUUCUUUCCUUCUUCAACAUUUCUAUAGCACCAUAUAUGUACCUCUAUUUUAUAUUCGUCAUAUGACACUGCAAUUAUUUGUUUACAUGUCAGUCUUUUUCACUAUACUUAGCUCCUUGUGCAGAAAUAUCUUAUUCAUUCCUGUAAUUUGGGGAGCUAGCUCAGUCCCUACACGUAGGAGACAUGCCAGAAAGUUUGCUGCAUGAGUUAUUGUUAGCUAAGUACACUUCCAUUCCCCGAAACCAUUCAGCUUUUGUAUUAUCAUGAACUAAAAUUAACCCUUCAUUACCCACAGUAUUCCAAUCCUGAAAAGAGAAGGAAGCAAAUACAUGUAGUUCCAAACCACAAAUAAUUUAUUCCACAGAUAGUUCAUCUAGGCUAACGCUAAAAAUCAAUCAGCUUGCAUAAAGCAUACACAAAGAGAAAACAGUGCUAAGAUAACAACAAUGCUGCUUCUGGAUUGUUUUUUCUUUUUCUUUCUCUCCCUACUCCCAGCAAAUAGAUGUAUCUGAACCACAGUCACUUAUCAAAUAUUCAUAGAUUUAGAAUGUCUGAAUGUAGCUAGUUGCUAUGAGAAAAAAAAAAAAGAAAAGAAAAGAAUUGAAAUAAAGACACACUAUAGACCAAAAGGGUUAAUAGGAUAUUUUGAUAAAUCCCUGAUACCUGCUGGCUCAACUUCAGUGCCAAAGAAAACACCAACUGUAAGGUCCAAGCUGGAGCCAUUAGUGACCGGAAAGGGAAAGGUAGCAAAGGUCUACUUCAGCCCUCUCUUUCUUACAAAGGACCAGCAAACCAAAAUAAACUGCCUUUUCUUAUAUAGGUGAUUAAUUCUUAAGUACCUACAGUAGGCUAGGACAAAGAUUCCAUGGCUAACUGGCAGAGGUAGAUAAAAACACUUGUGUUACUCAAAAACCAAGUAAAUACCUAAUCAAAAUUUCUAGCACACCAGCUAAUUAGUGAUCAUAUAUUUUUGAGUUUUAGCACCUUUUUAUUACCCUCUUCAUUAAUCCAGGCAAUUUUAUCAACUAGUACCCUGGCGAAAGGCAAAUAAUGGAAAAGUAAAAAUUAGGAAAAUGGGAGGUUCCAGAUAGUUUAGACAGACCAUAGUAGUAAAAGGACAAAACUAUCUAAAGUUUGUGUAAUGAUAUAAAGAAAAUCUAAAAAGAAUUUUUUUUUUAAUUUUUAUAGAGACAGGGUCUCAACAGGGUCUCGCUCUGUCACCUAGGCUGGAGUACAAUGGCAUGAUCAUAGCUCACUGCAACCUCCAACUCCUGGACUCCAGCAAUCCUCCUGCUUCAGCCUCCCAAAUAGCUGGGACUAUAGGUGUGCACCACCACACCCAGCUAAUUUUUUUUUUUUUUUUUCGGUACAGACAGCAUCUUGCUAUGUUGCUCAGGCUGAUCUGGAACUCCUGGCCUCACAAUACUCCUGCCUCAG
RNAcentral lists this long non-coding RNA (11008 nucleotides) under Homo sapiens (human). Its description in RNAcentral is "HSALNT0080578". Lineage: Eukaryota; Metazoa; Chordata; Mammalia; Primates; Hominidae. The record is from RNAcentral.